This 708-nucleotide long non-coding RNA is filed under the name Lathyrus oleraceus (garden pea). Its description in RNAcentral is "Pisum sativum (pea) long non-coding RNA (PSAT_LNC012355)". Lineage: Eukaryota; Viridiplantae; Streptophyta; Magnoliopsida; Fabales; Fabaceae. The record is from RNAcentral.
UAAAACACUUAAGUCGCCCCAUAUUGGUAAAAGUAUAACAAUUACAGCCAUAUCAACAAGUUGCACAUCUAGAACAGAGUUGAAAGGUUCAACAUCCAACAGGUUAAGUUACCAAUAUAAAUAAAAAAACACAAGCUAUGAUAAAAUGGGCAUUCAUAGGUUACAACACAUCAAUUACAAUGAUAUCUUGGCAUAUCAUGUAUAAGAUUACAAGCUAUGAUAAACCAAAAUUGGACGACCCCCUUAUAAAUCUAAGAUAUUUACAAGUACAACAACACAUGCCUCUGAAGCAAAAAAAUUGAACUUCUGCCGUAGCAGCAGGAAAAAGAACUAUUAAUCUAAAAAGCAAGACAUUUCAUUGCUCUCUCUUAUGAGUUAACUUCCAAGGCAUAAAGCCAUCAUGGCCAGUUUGGGCUACCAAUAUUUUGAAAUAUUAAUUGUACAGUCAAAGAGCAACCUUCAUGGCCUUCUCCAAAUCUCAUUUGGAAGAAGAAUUUUGAUAAACCUGCAAAGAACGAAUUUUACGUUUCUUGUGGUUUUCAAUUCUUUCCACAGAGUAAAAUCAAGCAUCCCAUUUUCAAGAAAGAGUACAUGUGGUACUAAGAAACUUCAAGUACCGGCAAAAAGAAUCAUUUAUGGUACAAAAGAAAAGGAGACAGGCACUUGUGGAUUGCCACCAACGUUCCUGAUCUCGGCAGUUGAACAUAG